This 380-nucleotide ribosomal RNA is filed under the name uncultured bacterium. RNAcentral's name for it is "bacterial SSU rRNA". It matches the Rfam family "Bacterial small subunit ribosomal RNA", at positions 362 to 758 of the family's 1533-position model. The record is from RNAcentral.
UAUUGGCCAAUGGGGGCAAGCCUGUCCCAGCAAUCCGGGUGGGUGAAGAAAGCUCUUGGGGUUGUAAGCCCCCUUUCCCCGGGGAUGAUGAUGACGGUCCCCGCAGAAUAAGGCCCCGGCUAACUUCGUGCCAGCAGCCGCGGUAAUACGAAGGGGGCUAGCGUUGUUCGGAAUCACUGGGCGUAAAGGGCGCGUAGGCGGCCUUGUAGGUCCGGCGUGAAAUCCCUGGGCUUAACCCCGGAGUCGCCCUGGAGACGGCAUGGCUGGAGGCCGAGAGAGGGGGGUGGAAUUCCCAGUGUAGAGGUGAAAUUCGUAGAUAUUGGGAACACACCCAGGGGGAAAGGGGCCACACGGGUCGGGUAUUGACGUGAGGCGCGAAG